GGCCUGGGGGGCAACUCCCAGAGUCGAGCGGCGGACGGGUGAGUAACACGUGGGUAACCUGCCCGGAAGUGGGGAAUACCUCGGGGAAACUCGAGCUAAUUCCGCAUGACAUCUUCGGGACGAAAGUCCUGACGAUCAAAGCGGGGUCGCAAGAUCUCGCGCUACCGGAUGGGCCCGCGCCCGAUUAGCUAGUUGGUGAGGUAACGGCUCACCAAGGCUUCGAUCGGUAACCGGCCUGAGAGGGCGAUCGGUCACACCGGAACUGAGACACGGUCCGGACUCCUACGGGAGGCAGCAGUGGGGAAUCUUGCGCAAUGGGCGAAAGCCUGACGCAGCAACGCCGCGUGGAGGAUGAAGGCCCUUGGGUUGUAAACUCCUGUCGGCUGGGAAGAAAUCGUUCGUGGCUCAUACCCACGGACGUUGACUGUACCAGCAAAGGAAGCCCCGGCUAACUCUGUGCCAGCAGCCGCGGUAAUACAGAGGGGGCUAGCGUUAUUCGGAAUUAUUGGGCGUAAAGGGCGCGUAGGCGGCCAUGCGUGUCUUCCGUGAAAUCCCUCGGCUUAACUGAGGACGUGCGGAAGAAACUGCAAGGCUCGAGUCCGGGAGAGGGGGGGUGGAAUUCCCAGUGUAGCGGUGAAAUGCGUAGAUAUUGGGAGGAACACCGGUGGCGAAGGCGGCCCCCUGGACCGGUACUGACGCUGAGGCGCGAAAGCGUGGGUAGCAAACGGGAUUAGAUACCCCGGUAGUCCACGCCGUAAACGAUGGGCACUUGGUGUCGCGGGUAUCGACCCCUGCGGUGCCGAAGCUAACGCAUUAAGUGCCCCGCCUGGGGAGUACGGUCGCAAGGCUG
Molecule: ribosomal RNA, 850 nt
Filed under: uncultured Acidobacteriota bacterium
Lineage: Bacteria; Pseudomonadati; Acidobacteriota
Description: bacterial SSU rRNA
Rfam family: Bacterial small subunit ribosomal RNA
Source: RNAcentral